AACGCCGCAUGAAAAGCAUGCCUAUAUUAAUUCCAUUCCUGACUUAGAAUCAAUACUUAUACAGGCUAUGUUCCGGAUAUCGCAAAUUUUGUGUUUGAACUUGAAAAAUUCAUACGAAUUAAAAUUUAAUAGUGUUUCAUUCCAAAAAAUAUUAAGGAACAGACCAACUCUGUAACCCAUGCCAACUAUUAAUAUCGAUCAAUGGAAUUCGAAAAUUUGUUGUUUUGGUUUAUUUAUUUGAUUCAACGGCAAAAAUUUUUGUUUAGAAAUAUAUGUAUUAAGUAUUUAAAGGAUAUACGAAAAUAAAUCUGAAAAUUUAAAAAAAAAAACUUAAAACAUCAGCAAAUUUUUUUGAAUUUUUCCCUCAUAAAAUUGGUUCUAUAUUCCAUUUUGUCCGCGUUCUCGUGGUGUGAUAUGACAAACGUCAGCACAGUAGGCUGUGUGUCACAGUAACCGGUUUUGGCUUGGCUUUUCCAAAACACGAAAUUAUUAUUCGGGUCGACUCAAAUACGAAACAAUAUAAAAAAUUCUUAAAAUUGUUUGGAAUUGAUUUGGAAAUACAGCCAAUGAAAAUGCAGAAGAACAACAAAUUUCCCUUGAAGAGCGCCGCGUUGGCGCUUCAACAUUAGAUGAAGUUGCCAUCGUGAUGUUGGUGAAAACAUAGAAAGACGUGAUAUUGUGAUUGCACGUCGCGAUGUUGGGCAAUUGCAAAAAAUAUCUGAAACACAUCGUUUAUAUAACACGUUGCUAUACUCGCUCAUGUUUUGGCAAGGAGAAGAUGGAUAUCAUUUUAAUAUCAAAAUAAUAAAUCCAUUGAGUGGUGAAGAAACUACAAAGAAAAUUAGUUCGAUGAAAUAUUACGCACAACGUUUGAUGAUUCGGCAGAAGAGGAAAAAAGGUCUAUAGCAAGUUGAUUGAAAUUUUUGAACAAAUUGAACAUUUCCAUAAUGGCAAUGAAAACCGAAUUAAUUUACUGAAAACCAGGAUUAAUAAAUGUUCUAAAGUAACAAACGUCACGUCUUCAUGAGAAAAAAACACCGUAAUUGUCGUCAUCUAUACCUGGUGGAUAUUGAUUUGGAAUCGGAUUCAACUGCUACUGCAGAUUCAUCUUACCGACCUGAGACAUCAGACAUGGAUUUUGAUGAAGUUUUUUUAUUUAGAAUACGAAAAGGUUUGAUACCUCCAAUUAUGCUAUGAUGUGCGGCAGAUUUGGUGUGUUAGACAGAGUUGCUGCUUGUUCCGCUACGGCACUUAUUAAAGAUGUAGGUUUCAAAGACAACUCUAAUUUAUAUGUAAAUAAAUGGAUGUUGAUUUCUGAUCAACAUAAAUGGACUGCUCGAUCUUCAUAGCCAAUGGUUACAAAAUCGGAUGACUAUAUAAUACCUACUUUACUGCGAAGAGCUGCAGCGAUGAACUCUUUCGCUUGUCACCAUUGCGAAAACCACACAACGAGCUUUCGUUUUGAAAGCUUGAGAAGUAAAGUUACGCGAUACCCUACAUUAGUCAGGUAUCUGGGUUUGAAACUUAGUUAGUUAGUUCCUUUGGAAUUUUGGCAGUGCGCUACAACCGAUUCCUCACUAAAAUGUAUAUCAAAU
RNAcentral lists this small RNA (1595 nucleotides) under Drosophila pseudoobscura pseudoobscura. RNAcentral describes it as "GA31084". Lineage: Eukaryota; Metazoa; Arthropoda; Insecta; Diptera; Drosophilidae. The record is from RNAcentral.